This is a long non-coding RNA of Biomphalaria glabrata, 473 nucleotides long. RefSeq lists it as uncharacterized. The transcript has 3 exons. The record is from RefSeq and is a predicted model, not a curated record. NCBI's taxonomy places the organism in Eukaryota, Metazoa, Mollusca, Gastropoda, Planorbidae.
AAGAAACAAAGUAAAGAAAUGGAAUGCAACAUUUGUAUGGAAAAAGUCACUGAGCUGGAAACUCUUAGUCGCUUCGGUAUCCUAGAGAAUUGUAACCACUGUUUUUGUUUAAUGUGUUUAUUUGAAUGGCGGCAGAAUAAAACAAUGGCUAACCAUAGAGCUUGCCCAGUCUGUCGGAUUCACUCCAGAUUUGCAAUAGGCACCAAAUAUUGGAUCACAUGUCCACUAUCAAAAAAGAAGCUUAUUGAGUAUUCGAAAGAGGAUUUCGCGGAUAUGAACAAUUGAGGAAACAGGACCAGAUGAUUCAGAAAGGAAACAUUUGUUAAAAACAUUGUUAACAUUCCAUGAGUAAUCGACAUAUUACCUAUACGUAUACAAAAUCUUAACGGAAAUAUUUUAUUUAAUUGUUGAAUGUGCAGUAAUAUUAAUUUGACAUGCCUUACUAUAAAUUUAUUAAGCUUAUUAUCUUUGAA